GAUGAACGCUGGCGGCGUGCCUAAUACAUGCAAGUCGAGCGAACAGACGAGGAGCUUGCUCCUCUGACGUUAGCGGCGGACGGGUGAGUAACACGUAGGUAACCUACCUAUAAGACUGGGAUAACUUCGGGAAACCGGAGCUAAUACCGGAUAAUAUUUUGAACCGCAUGGUUCGAUAGUGAAAGAUGGCUUUGCUAUCACUUAUAGAUGGAUCUGCGCCGUAUUAGCUAGUUGGUAAGGUAACGGCUUACCAAGGCAACGAUACGUAGCCGACCUGAGAGGGUGAUCGGCCACACUGGAACUGAGACACGGUCCAGACUCCUACGGGAGGCAGCAGUAGGGAAUCUUCCGCAAUGGGCGAAAGCCUGACGGAGCAACGCCGCGUGAGUGAUGAAGGUCUUCGGAUCGUAAAACUCUGUUAUUAGGGAAGAACAAACGUGUAAGUAACUGUGCACGUCUUGACGGUACCUAAUCAGAAAGCCACGGCUAACUACGUG
RNAcentral lists this ribosomal RNA (497 nucleotides) under uncultured bacterium. RNAcentral describes it as "partial 16S ribosomal RNA". It matches the Rfam family "Bacterial small subunit ribosomal RNA", at positions 28 to 507 of the family's 1533-position model. The record is from RNAcentral.